RNAcentral lists this ribosomal RNA (755 nucleotides) under uncultured bacterium. RNAcentral's name for it is "bacterial SSU rRNA". It matches the Rfam family "Bacterial small subunit ribosomal RNA", at positions 28 to 776 of the family's 1533-position model. The record is from RNAcentral.
AUUGAACGCUGGCGGCAGGCUUAACACAUGCAAGUCGAGCGGUAACAGGAGAAGCUUGCUUCUCGCUGACGAGCGGCGGACGGGUGAGUAAUACUUAGGAAUCUACCUAGUAGUGGGGGAUAGCACGGGGAAACUCGUAUUAAUACCGCAUACGACCUACGGGAGAAAGGGGGCAGUUUACUGCUCUCGCUAUUAGAUGAGCCUAAGUCGGAUUAGCUAGAUGGUGGGGUAAAGGCCUACCAUGGCGACGAUCCGUAGCUGGUCUGAGAGGAUGAUCAGCCACACCGGGACUGAGACACGGCCCGGACUCCUACGGGAGGCAGCAGUGGGGAAUAUUGGACAAUGGGGGAAACCCUGAUCCAGCCAUGCCGCGUGUGUGAAGAAGGCCUUUUGGUUGUAAAGCACUUUAAGCAGUGAAGAAGACUCCAUGGUUAAUACCCAUGGACGAUGACAUUAGCUGCAGAAUAAGCACCGGCUAACUCUGUGCCAGCAGCCGCGGUAAUACAGAGGGUGCAAGCGUUAAUCGGAAUUACUGGGCGUAAAGGGAGCGUAGGUGGCUCUAUAAGUCAGAUGUGAAAUCCCCGGGCUUAACCUGGGAACUGCAUCUGAAACUGUAGAGCUAGAGUAUGUGAGAGGAAGGUAGAAUUCCAGGUGUAGCGGUGAAAUGCGUAGAGAUCUGGAGGAAUACCGAUGGCGAAGGCAGCCUUCUGGCAUAAUACUGACACUGAGGCUCGAAAGCGUGGGUAGCAAACAGG